Long non-coding RNA from Gossypium arboreum, 561 nucleotides. RefSeq lists it as uncharacterized. The transcript has 4 exons. Lineage: Eukaryota; Viridiplantae; Streptophyta; Magnoliopsida; Malvales; Malvaceae. The record is from RefSeq and is a predicted model, not a curated record.
GUCACCAAUUUUGACUAGUUUUAUUAUUAACAAAUCAAAAAGAAAAAGCUAUCAUUUUUCUCUUCUCCUUCACCGAAAUAUGCAGCAAAGAAAGGGCUUUGAAGCUGGAAAAUUUCAGCAACAUAUUUCCCUUGCUUAUGAUGAAAAUCGAGAUUUGGACCUAGAACGGAAAGAAAUCGAUUAAGGGAUAAUUACGUUUUUUUUUUACCUUUGUGGUAUCGAGGUAAAAUUCUACUCAAAUGGAGGAAUACUUGAGAUGAAAGGGACGUAUUGGUAAAUGUUGUGAAAUGGAUACUUUGAACAGAGUUUCCAGGUUUGCUCGGGUUGGAGGCCGUCAGAGAUAUUAUCACACUGUCAAGCUAACGCUAUUGGUGUAGUGAUUUCAAGUACUUUGAGCCUACGGCAUGUGUAGGAGUUUAAAUAUUAGAGUAUGUGAUAUGGCUUUAAUCAUAUGUGUUGGCCUAUUUUGAUUAUGGGGUUGUAAAUCUAUUUUAAUUAUGCAUGCAUGUGCGAUGGUAUUAUGUGAUGAGUUUAUAAUGAUUAUAGUAUGAAUGUGGUAAA